This 555-nucleotide ribosomal RNA is filed under the name uncultured fungus. RNAcentral's name for it is "eukaryotic LSU rRNA". The stretch from base 189 to 342 matches the Rfam family "5.8S ribosomal RNA". Lineage: Eukaryota; Fungi. The record is from RNAcentral.
AAGUCGUAACAAGGUCUCCGUUGGUGAACCAGCGGAGGGAUCAUUACCGAGUACUAUAACUCAUAACCCUUUGUGAACCUUUAUACCUGUUGCUUCGGCGGCGCGCCUCCCGGGGCGUGCCCGCCGGCAUUAUCAGAAUCUCUGUUCGAACCCGACGAUACAUCUGAGUGUUCUAAGCGAACUGUUAAAACUUUCAACAACGGAUCUCUUGGCUCCAGCAUCGAUGAAGAACGCAGCGAAACGCGAUAUGCAAUGUGAAUUGCAGAAUUCAGUGAAUCAUCGAAUCUUUGAACGCACAUGGCGCCUUCCAGUAUCCUGGGAGGCAUGCCUGUCCGAGCGUCGUUUCAACCCUCAAGCCCCCGUGGCCCGGCGUUGGGGAUCUGCCCAGGCAGUCCCCGAAAACCAGUGGCGGACCCGUUGGGCCCUUCCUUUGCGUAGUAACAUCUGCCUCGCAUCGGGAGCCUGCGGGCUAUCCGGCCUCUAAACCCCCCUCAAGCCCGCUCCGGCGGCACCAAGGUUGACCUCGGAUCAGGUAGGAAUACCCGCUGAACUUAA